GGCAGCGGCAGCGGCCAGUGGCCUCUCCGUGCGUGCUGCACAGAGGCAAGAAGCAGCCAUCCAUCCAGAAGCUGCCUCCGGUUGGUUCUGUUUGUCUGGAUGACAUCGUAGGUGGCCGGCAUCUCUGGCUUUGGGCUUCUCCCCUGGGCGGGUGGGUGUUCCACCCUCCCGCCCACUCUCUGAGGACAUGCGGACCAUGGUAUCCAGCACCACGGACAGCUCCCAGCGGUCCCUUGAAUGCUUGGUUUAUGCGCCUGGCUGAAGGAGACACCCAUGGCCUUGCAGAGGGAUCGGUCUGGUGGGAAAGCAGGCACGACCCACCCCAGGCCCGUGGUUUCCCUGCAACAAGUCCAGUGGCUUUCUGGGGGACACUUUUCCUGAAGAAGUGAUUCAAGAGCAGCAUAAGCCAGGUACUAUGGAAUGUUGGGUGAGAUGACUUGAGGACCUA
Molecule: long non-coding RNA, 448 nt
Filed under: Mus pahari (shrew mouse)
Lineage: Eukaryota; Metazoa; Chordata; Mammalia; Rodentia; Muridae
Description: lncRNA (MGP_PahariEiJ_G0005745.1)
Source: RNAcentral